Sapajus apella (tufted capuchin) is the source of this 3012-nucleotide long non-coding RNA. RefSeq lists it as uncharacterized. The record is from RefSeq and is a predicted model, not a curated record. Lineage: Eukaryota; Metazoa; Chordata; Mammalia; Primates; Cebidae. The transcript is spliced from 2 exons.
UGGCUGUUAUUCAGUACCACACUGUUGACUGGGACGCCGGUCUCUGAUUUUGUCUCAAGGCAAUGAAGAUAUGGCAAAGGCCGGAGGUGAGGCCGCUGCCACUGCACUUAGUCCUGCGACUCCCCUACGGACGGGCUGAGGUGGCCGGCUAGCCACUUCCCAGUCCUGUCCCUACGGGGCCUAAAAAGGCCCCCCAUCCCGGGAUCCGGAGGGUCGCUUCCCUCGCUGCGUCCCCAUUUUGCAGCUGCCGGUCUAAAAAUUGAUGUAGGCCCUGCACAAUCAGGUGUUGGCCGAGAUCACUCCCACUCACUGUGCAGUAAGUUGAUCUACUCUGGAUACCUCAAACACCAACUUCUUUCCUGCAUGUAUGAACCUUUGCACAAUUUGUUCCCUCUACCUGAAUUCUCUCUUCCCCAUUCAACACAUGGCACUUCCCUUCAUCCUUUAGAUUACAUCUAAAAUAGUACCUUCUUAAAGAAGACUUUCCUGACUACUGUAUGGCAAGUGAGCCCUCUUUUUUUAUUUGCAGGUUCAAUUUCAUUUUUAUACUUUUUACAACUAGCAAUUGUUGUUGUUCUCCUAACCCCUAAAAUGUAAGUUCUGUGAGUAUAGGAACUGUAUUUUGCUUAGCCACUAAUGUAUACUCAGUGACUAUAAACACAACACAAGCAAAUCAAUAUUUGUUGAACAAUGAAUAAAGGCUGAUGUGGCUGGAUAGAGACCAUGGGGAGGAGUAGAGAGUGCUUUUGGAGGCAUGGGCCAAGGCCAGACCCUGUAAGUCUUAGCCAGGUUACUGACUUGAGUAUUAUGAAAUGUUUACUGGGUAACCGAUUUUAAGCAUGGGCAUGGUAUAUCCAAUGUCCAUCUAUCUUUUGAAACGGUUAAUCUCUUGGAGAAAUUAAAGGCAGUCAAGGAGGAGGCUACUGAACCAGUCAGGAGACUGUUGCAAGAGAUCCCAGCAAAAGAUAAUGAUAAUGUGGACUUGGGAGAUGGCAGAGGAGUUGCAGAAAAGUGUCCAGAUUUCAGAAAUAUUUUUUUCUACAUUUUUCAUUUCAGCACCAGCCACUGGGUUUUCCCUUAGAGAUGCAGAGCCAGCUUGACUGGGAAGUGCUUAAGAUUUAGUGCCUAUUCCAAAGAAUUCCAUCUGUGCCCUUGAAAUGAAUAUUAACAUAAAAUGAAAAAUUUAGUAAGUUAUAUCAAGCUGAUUUUCUGCCCUAACCACAGUUUCGACUGUUACUAAUAGCUAACUUUCUAUAUGCAAGGUAGUAGUCUUAGCAUUUUAUAUUCAUUUAAUCCUAACAGUAUCUCUGUGAGGUAAUUUGUUGUUAUUAUCCCCAAUUAAUUGAAGAGGAAACUGAGACAUGGAGCUAGUAAAGAAAUUGUAAAGGUACCUACUAAAUAGAAGUGUUGAAGAUUAAAGCAGGUAAUAGUGUAUUUAUAAAAGUAUCUGGCACAUGUUAAAUAAUAACUUGCUUAAAUUUAUAUAACUAAUAAACAGGGAGACUGGAUUUUGAAUCUGGAUGAUCUGGCUCCAGAGUCUGUGCAUUCUUUGGCCUCUCAAAGUUUGGACCCAACACCCUUGGAGUUCUCGUAAGAAAAAAAACAAAGUGCUUAACUCCUACUGCAAAGCCAUCUUCGAAAGCAAGACUAACACAGCUCACUUUUCAACCCCAAAAUAAUACUUUUGAAUAUGUAUUAAUUGCAAAGGUUUAAAUAACAAGUCCAACAAAAAUUUAUCAACCACCCACUAAGUGGCAGAUGUCUCUACCCUUAAAAGUCCUUCCAUCCAAAGCAGCCCUUCUCCACCUGGGAUUUUAAGAGACAGUUAAUCCCUAAUGCCUUUCAGCACCCAUUGUGUGUAAUGUAUUAACCUCUUUCGUAUGCGUCUAGAAUAGCACUAGUUCUGCACCAUCCUGAAAAAACAGUCAAUUUUUUUUAUCCCCUGUGGUUCAUAUGGGGAAAUCCAUAUGCAAAGAAUUUCAAAACAUGACAAAAGCUGUAAUAGAAAUGAAUAAGGAGUAAUGGAGCAGAGUGAGCAUAGCUUAACAGUAGUGGCUGUGAAGUCAGACAGACUUGAGAUUGAGUAUAAGCCCAGCCACUGCUAGGGCUCAUAAAAUUGUUGUAAGGAUUAAAAAUAGCAUUUAUAAGUUAUUUAGUAUUAUCCUGGCACAUAGUAGGUUUCAUAAUGGUAGUAAUAUUUAUUAAAUCUGUUUAUUAAGUCACUAGAAUGCAAGCUGUCUUGGUCCUCUAUAGUCCCCACAUUUAAAACUGUGCCUUGCACAAAACAAGUACUCAAUAAAUACUUAUUGAUGUAAUAAGGGAUGUCUACUAGGGAAGAUUUCUUAAUGUAGCAUGUAGGCUGAAGAAAAUAUUGGGAUUUGCUAGUGAAUUGCAAGAGGAGGCCAUUCCAGGCCAUGGAAAGCUAUGAAACAAUGACAAAAAAGGACAAGAGUUCAUGAAAGAUUCCAAAAACUAAAUACCUAUUUCAGCAUGACUGUGAACAUAUGGCAGGACAUAAAAAAAGUAGGCAGAGGCUAGAUCAUAAGGGGCCCUGUAAAGUGCUAAAGAAGAGCUAGAAUUAUAUUCUGUAAGGCCUAGGUUUUACCCAGCAGAGUUAUGGAAGGAAGAGUGUAAUAAGAGAAGAAACAAGAUGGAUUGAGUCUAUGUCUAUAAUACCAAAAUCUUACAAAGUGAAAGUCAAGAAAUUACACAACAGGAUGUAGAAGUUUAAGCAUAUCAUUUCAGUGUGCAAAGGUAACCAGAACAAGCAAAAAUAUAUGUAACUCUCUAAAGCUAAGUGUUUAUCUGUCUUUGUAGGAAGUAAAUAGAUAUCUGUUACUGAUACAUAAAGAAAUAACAUUAGGAGGAGCAUAUCAUUUAAAGAUGGGUAUAGUAAUUUCCAGAAAUUCUAAAAAUAAAUUAUAAAAAUAGUUGCCUCUGGAAAGCAGGCCUGGAGAUGUAAAAGGGUGAGAUUCUUUUAUUAUAUUUUUGAAUUUGUAAUAAACUUUUUUU